AGCGGAGGUAACCCAACAAGAUAGAGGGACAACUCCUCAGUGAGGAUUCCCCAGGGCUAUCACUUCUUCUGUUGAUCUGUCUUGCUUCUGGAGAUGGGGUC
Long non-coding RNA from Lemur catta (Ring-tailed lemur), 101 nucleotides. RefSeq lists it as uncharacterized. The transcript is spliced from 3 exons. Lineage: Eukaryota; Metazoa; Chordata; Mammalia; Primates; Lemuridae. The record is from RefSeq and is a predicted model, not a curated record.